UGGAAGUAGAAUUUCAUAGAAACUGAGGGGC
Molecule: non-coding RNA, 31 nt
Filed under: Rattus norvegicus (Norway rat)
Lineage: Eukaryota; Metazoa; Chordata; Mammalia; Rodentia; Muridae
Source: RNAcentral